AGAGAGCGGCGCGGCGAAACAAAGAUGGCGCCGACAUCCAGCCUUGUCUGGAUAUAAACGACUUACUGCGCAUGUGCAGGCUUGUCCCCUUGCUAGGGCUCCCUCUAGUGGUGAACAGCGGUACUGCACAUGUGCGGUUUAUGCACCAGGUGUCAGUUGACCUUUAAUAUGCUAAUGAGGUGAUUCAUUCUCCGCCAAUCCCUGGAGGACAAGUAGUGGGGUGAUCCAAGCCCCACCAAUCCCUGAGAGAUAAUUAGCAUACUGUUGUCUAUAUAAGCCGAGCGAUUUUGCUGCUCGGAGUCCCUGUUCAAGAGAGCUGUAACACUAAGAGAGCUGUAACACUAAGAAGAGCUGUAACACAGUAAAGGCUUGCUCGCAGAAGAAUCCUGUUGCCACGCGUCGUUCUUGCUGGCGGGACAUUGGGCGCGCGACAGCUUGGUAUUGUUGUGACCCUGUAGAAAGCCCAGAAGUGCGGUCUUCCUUUGCUGAGUACUGAAAUGCACUCUACACAAGGCCAGCCAGCUGAGUGUACUGUCUGUCUCAAGUGUCCCAGCAGAAAAUCUACAGCAACGGCAGAAGCUUGGGUUUCUUUGUACAUCAGCCAUGAUUGAUUGGCCAUGGUUGUGUGGGCAUGGGUGGAGAGGAAUGUGAGGUCGUUACUUUGCUAGGUUGAGAACUGCCACGUUAGAUUAAUGUUGCCUGCGAUAGACUUCAGAGGGAAUAUACGGAAGCACGCUCAUCUUGUCCAGUAUUUAGGGCAUGGCCGAUGAUGGAAUGUGCUCUUUAAGAAAUGAAGAACAGAAAAAAAAAAGAAAAGAAAAAAUCUCCAACAAGGUAAAACACAAAAUUUAUGAAGAAAACAAGCAAGAGAGCUCUCUACUACACCACUGUUCUUCCAAAGAAGAAUUCUAAGAGGACUUUGGGUUUUCCUGGGAACUGGUACAUGUUCCUUCCCUUUUUGUGGAAAGAGCACUUAGUGGGCUCUAAGCAGACACAAAUGCAUGUAGCAUGUAAUAGUGAAGGGAGUCUUCAACCUUGUGAGUACCAGACAGAGUCUAGCAACUACCAGAUUUUGCAAACAUCUAAACAGGAAAAGGUUUCAUCCAAUGACCUUUGGUGACUGUAGGUUUUCAUAGAUGCACUUUAUCCUAUAACCUUUAUAAAUCUGGAAAUAAAAGGUUUAUGCACUCAAAAAUAAUAAUUGAGUGAAUGUGCUAGUAACAGUGUCAAAAACUAUAGAGGUCAGAAAUGACCUCUAUAGAGCUAAUCUAAACCAUUUCUUGACCUCCGAGCUUAUUGGUGAAUAAAAAUAGUCUGAAAAGAAA
This is a non-coding RNA of Rattus norvegicus (Norway rat), 1325 nucleotides long. The record is from RefSeq and is a predicted model, not a curated record. NCBI's taxonomy places the organism in Eukaryota, Metazoa, Chordata, Mammalia, Rodentia, Muridae.